RNAcentral lists this ribosomal RNA (473 nucleotides) under uncultured bacterium. Its description in RNAcentral is "SSU rRNA". It matches the Rfam family "Bacterial small subunit ribosomal RNA", at positions 26 to 518 of the family's 1533-position model. The record is from RNAcentral.
AGGAUAAACGCUGGCGGCGUGCAUGAGACAUGCAAGUCGAACGGACGAUCGAGGCUUGCUUCGAUCGUUAGUGGCGGACGGCUGAGUAACGCGUAGGUGACCUGCCCCGAAGUGGGGAAUAACUGCCCGAAAGGGUGGCUAAUACCGCAUGUGGUGAUGCGUUCAUUCGCAUCAGUAAAGCCGCAAGGCGCUUCGGGAGGGGCCUGCGUCCGAUUAGCUCGUUGGUGGGGUAACGGCUCACCAAGGCGACGAUCGGUAGGUGGUCUGAGAGGACGAUCACCCAGACUGGGACUGAGACACGGCCCAGACUCCUACGGGAGGCAGCAGUCGGGAAUUUUUGCGCAAUGGGCGAAAGCCUGACGCAGCAACGCCGCGUGAGGGAUGACGGCCUUCGGGUUGUAAACCUCUUUGUCAGGGAAGAUUAUGACGGUACCUGGCGAAUAAGCCACGGCUAACUACGUGCCAGCAGCCGC